GACGAACGCUGGCGGCGUGCUUAACACAUGCAAGUCGAACGGAAAGGCCCUGCUUUUGUGGGGUGCUCGAGUGGCGAACGGGUGAGUAACACGUGAGUAACCUGCCCUUGACUUUGGGAUAACUUCAGGAAACUGGGGCUAAUACCGGAUAGGAGCUCCUGCUGCAUGGUGGGGGUUGGAAAGUUUCGGCGGUUGGGGAUGGACUCGCGGCUUAUCAGCUUGUUGGUGGGGUAGUGGCUUACCAAGGCUUUGACGGGUAGCCGGCCUGGGAGGGUGGCCGGCCACAUUGGGACUGAGAUACGGCGCAGACUCCUACGGGAGGCAGCAGUGGGGAAUAUUGCACAAUGGGCGGACGCCUGAUGCAGCAACGCCGCGUGCGGGAUGACGGCCUUCGGGUUGUAAACCGCUUUCGCCUGUGACGAAGCGUGAGUGACGGUAAUGGGUAAAGAAGCACCGGCUAACUACGUG
Molecule: ribosomal RNA, 468 nt
Filed under: uncultured bacterium
Lineage: Bacteria
Description: partial 16S ribosomal RNA
Rfam family: Bacterial small subunit ribosomal RNA
Source: RNAcentral